This 253-nucleotide ribosomal RNA is filed under the name uncultured bacterium. RNAcentral's name for it is "partial 16S ribosomal RNA". It matches the Rfam family "Bacterial small subunit ribosomal RNA", at positions 524 to 776 of the family's 1533-position model. The record is from RNAcentral.
UACGGAGGGUGCAAGCGUUAUCCGGAUUCACUGGGUUUAAAGGGAGCGCAGGCGGACUUGUAAGUCAGUGGUGAAAUACCUGAGCUUAACUCGGGAACUGCCAUUGAUACUAUAGGUCUUGAAUAUUGUUGAGGUUUGCGGAAUGGGUCAUGUAGCGGUGAAAUGCAUAGAUAUGACCCGGAACACCGGUGGCGAAGGCGGCGACCUGGUCCGUGACUGACGCUGAGGCGCGAAAGCGUGGGGAGCAAACAGG